AGUGAACGCUGGCGGCGUGCUUAACACAUGCAAGUCGAACGGUAACAGGAACUAGCUUGCUAGUUUGCUGACGAGUGGCGCACGGGUGAGUAAUAUAUAGUUAAUGUACCCCAAAGACUGGGAUAGCCACUGGAAACGGUGAUUAAUACUAGAUACACCUCUUUAACAUAAGUUAGAGAGGGAAAUGUCUUUUCGCUUUGGGAUCAGACUAUAUCCUAUCAGUUAGUUGGUGAGGUAAUGGCUCACCAAGGCAAUGACGGGUAGCGGGUUUGAGAGGAUGAUCCGCCACACUGGUACUGAGACACGGACCAGACUCCUACGGGAGGCAGCAGUGAGGAAUAUUGCACAAUGGAGGAAACUCUGAUGCAGCAACGCCGCGUGGAGGAUGACGCAUUUCGGUGUGUAAACUCCUUUAUGAGUCAAGAAAAUGACGGUAGCUCAUGAAUAAGCACCGGCUAACUCCGUGCCAGCAGCCGACGG
Molecule: ribosomal RNA, 480 nt
Filed under: uncultured bacterium
Lineage: Bacteria
Description: bacterial SSU rRNA
Rfam family: Bacterial small subunit ribosomal RNA
Source: RNAcentral